This 468-nucleotide ribosomal RNA is filed under the name uncultured bacterium. Its description in RNAcentral is "partial 16S ribosomal RNA". It matches the Rfam family "Bacterial small subunit ribosomal RNA", at positions 28 to 507 of the family's 1533-position model. The record is from RNAcentral.
GACGAACGCUGGCGGCGUGCUUAACACAUGCAAGUCGAACGGAAAGGCCCUGCUUUUGUGGGGUGCUCGAGUGGCGAACGGGUGAGUAACACGUGAGUAACCUGCCCUUGACUUUGGGAUAACUUCAGGAAACUGGGGCUAAUACCGGAUAGGAGCUCCUGCUGCAUGGUGGGGGUUGGAAAGUUUCGGCGGUUGGGGAUGGACUCGCGGCUUAUCAGCUUGUUGGUGGGGUAGUGGCUUACCAAGGCUUUGACGGGUAGCCGGCCUGAGAGGGUGACCGGCCACAUUGGGACUGAGAUACGGCCCAGACUCCUACGGGAGGCAGCAGUCGAGAAUAUUGCACAAUGGGCGGAAGCCUGAUGCAGCAACGCCGCGUGCGGGAUGACGGCCUUCGGGUUGUAAACCGCUUUCGCCUGUGACGAAGCGUGAGUGACGGUAAUGUGUAAAGAAGCACCGGCUAACUACGUG